This 253-nucleotide ribosomal RNA is filed under the name uncultured Legionella sp. Its description in RNAcentral is "partial 16S ribosomal RNA". It matches the Rfam family "Bacterial small subunit ribosomal RNA", at positions 524 to 776 of the family's 1533-position model. Lineage: Bacteria; Pseudomonadati; Pseudomonadota; Gammaproteobacteria; Legionellales; Legionellaceae. The record is from RNAcentral.
UACGGAGGGUGCGAGCGUUAAUCGGAAUUACUGGGCGUAAAGGGUGCGUAGGUGGUUUGAUAAGUCAAUUGUGAAAGACCUGGGCUUAACCUGGGAUGGUCAGUUGAUACUGUUAGACUUGAGUGUGGGAGAGGGUAGUGGAAUUUCCGGUGUAGCGGUGAAAUGCGUAGAGAUCGGAAGGAACACCAGUGGCGAAGGCGGCUACCUGGCUCAACACUGACACUGAGGCACGAAAGCGUGGGUAGCAAACAGG